UGGGGAAUCUUGGACAAUGGGCGCAAGCCUGAUCCAGCCAUGCCGCGUGAGUGAUGAAGGCCUUCGGGUUGUAAAGCACUUUCGGACGGAACGAAAUCGCACGGGUGAAUAUCCCGUGUGGAUGACGGUACCGUAAGAAGAAGCACCGGCUAACUACGUGCCAGCAGCCGCGGUAAUACGUAGGGUGCGAGCGUUAAUCGGAAUUACUGGGCGUAAAGUGUGCGCAGGCGGCUUCGCAAGUCGAGUGUGAAAUCCCCGGGCUUAACUUGGGAACGGCGCUCGAAACUACGGAGCUAGAGUAUGGCAGAGGGAGGUGGAAUUCCACGUGUAGCGGUGAAAUGCGUAGAGAUGUGGAGGAACACCAAUGGCGAAGGCAGCCUCCUGGGCCAAUACUGACGCUCAUGCACGAAAGCGUGGGGAGCAAACAGGAUUAGAUACCCAUGUAGUCCCUGAGCGGGCUGGCAAGGCGCAU
RNAcentral lists this ribosomal RNA (472 nucleotides) under uncultured bacterium. RNAcentral's name for it is "bacterial SSU rRNA". It matches the Rfam family "Bacterial small subunit ribosomal RNA", at positions 355 to 825 of the family's 1533-position model. The record is from RNAcentral.